This 252-nucleotide ribosomal RNA is filed under the name uncultured bacterium. RNAcentral's name for it is "partial 16S ribosomal RNA". It matches the Rfam family "Bacterial small subunit ribosomal RNA", at positions 30 to 286 of the family's 1533-position model. The record is from RNAcentral.
AUUGAACGCUGGCGGCAUGCCUUACACAUGCAAGUCGAACGGCAGCACGGGAGCAAUCCUGGUGGCGAGUGGCGAACGGGUGAGUAAUAUAUCGGAACGUGCCAGUCUGGGGAUAACGUAGCGAAAGCUACGCUAAUACCGCAUACGAUCUACGGAUGAAAGCGGGGGAUCGCAGACCUCGCGCGAUUGGAGCGGCCGAUAUCAGAUUAGGUAGUUGGUGAGGUAAAGGCUCACCAAGCCGACGAUCUGUAG